Molecule: ribosomal RNA, 484 nt
Filed under: uncultured bacterium
Lineage: Bacteria
Description: partial 16S ribosomal RNA
Rfam family: Bacterial small subunit ribosomal RNA
Source: RNAcentral
AUUGAACGCUGGCGGAAUGCUUUACACAUGCAAGUCGAGCGGCAGCACGGGGGCAACCCUGGUGGCGAGCGGCGAACGGGUGAGUAAUACAUCGGAACAUGCCCAGUCGUGGGGGAUAACACUUCGAAAGAAGUGCUAAUACCGCAUACGUCCUGAGGGGGAAAGCGGGGGAUCGCAAGACCUCGCGCGAUUGGAGUGGCCGAUGUCAGAUUGGCUAGUUGGUGGGGUAAAGGCCUACCAAGGCAACGAUCUGUAGCUGGUCUGAGAGGAUGAUCAGCCACACUGGGACUGAGACACGGCCCAGACUCCUACGGGAGGCAGCAGUGGGGAAUUUUGGACAAUGGGGGCAACCCUGAUCCAGCCAUUCCGCGUGAGUGAAGAAGGCCUUCGGGUUGUAAAGCUCUUUCGGCAGGAACGAAACGGUGAGCUCUAACAUAGCUUGCUAAUGACGGUACCUGAAGAAGAAGCACCGGCUAACUACGUG